AAAUUGUUUGAAAAGUUUGGAUACCAUGAGGAUAAGGGUUCCAUAUUUAGUAAUAUACACAGUUUGGUCUAUGAUUGUCAAUAUGCGGAAGAAUUUGAAAAUGGCUGGAAAGUGAUGAUCGAAACGUUUAACUUGUCUGAUAAUGAAUGGCUGGCGGGUUUGUAUAAGAAUAGGGGACGUUAGGUAUCUUGCUUUUUGAAAACCACAUUUUGGGUAGGUAUGUCAGCAACUCGACGCAUUGAGAGUAUGAAUACAUUUUUUGAUGGUUAUGUACAUUUGAAGACAAUAUUGAAGCAAUUUGUUGAACAAUACGAACGGGCAUUGAGAAGUAAGGUUGAGAAAGAAUUUCAAGCGGACUUCAAGUCCUUCUCGCAAAUGGUGCCGUGUGCAACAAGAUAUGAAAUGGAGAAACAAUUCCAAGCAGUUUACACAAUUUCAAAAUUCAAGGAAGUUCAAAAGGAGUUCACAGGUAAGGUUUAUUGCGACCUCAUAUCUGUUUCGGAGGGACUAUCGGGGAUGACUUAUGAGAUACAAGAAGACGUAAUGCAUGACGGUUCGAAGAAAAAAACCUUUUUCGUCUCAUCUCAAAGAGACAAAUGUGAAAUCACUUACAGUUGUCACAAUUUUGAGUUUCGAGGGAUUAUUUGCAGACAUACUAUUGAAGUAUUGGUCUGUAAUGAUAUCAAAUCAGUUCCAGAAAGGUAUAUAAUACGGAGAUGGCGGCGAGAUGUCAGUAGAGCCCACACGAGGGUAGCAGAGCAUUAUGAUGGUAUGGUUAGUUCUCCCGAACAAUUGAUGUACGACAAAAUGUGUCAACGUUUUGCUACAUUGGCGAACAUGACGAUAGACGAUGAAGUCAAAUCCAAUGUCAUAAUUGAGUGGAUUGAUAGUCAAUGUAAACAAGUGAUGACGUUGAAGUCAAGUACUAGUAGUAAUAUCUUGUCCCCGCAUAUUACUCAAACAUCAUCCGAGUGUAGAGCAUCACUGGAUAUUGGAGGCGGUAGCAUCAGGGAUCUAUAAUGUGCGAAAAGAAAAGGUGCCCCUAGGAAACUUCGGAAGAAGAGCCAAUUGGAAUUGAAUAUGAACAGAGUUAAGGUAAUGCCCAUAUUUUGGUACCCAAAUGUUGUAAAGUUAUUGUAGAGAUAAUGUCUAAUACCAUUCCUUGUUUUGUAGCCAACUUCGAGUUCAACGAAGGGAAAGAAACCGAAGGUAAGCAAGUAGUACGGGAAAUGAUGCACCCAUCUUUCAGUCACCUCAUCAAUUACACAUGCAGCUACCUUUCUCAUAUACGCAUCUCCUUAUGGUUAGUACUUAGCUUAUGGUUUAAUUGCAACGAAAAUAUAAGAUGUGCUGAUAAUGUUAUUUCAUGUAGGGUGGCAACCUAAAUCUUCAAUUCAUACAACACUUACAGUCCACAUGUGUCAACCCUCCAUCCUCAACAUAUCUUUUAUUCAACAUGCAAGGUAACAUAGUUGUUAGAUAGAACAUAAUAGUUUACAAACAUUAUUCAUUACGUACAUUCAUUACUAUAUAAUAAACAACCUUAAGUGAAGUUGACAUAUGAAGGUAUGGCUACAAGACAUAUGAAUGAUGUUGUUGACAAUGAAACACGACAGUUAGAUAAUCACCUUGAUGGUGGAAACAUCAUCAAUCCCAAUAUAUGAGCUCUCGGCUGUGCUGUAACCAUAUGAAGUGAGUAAUUAUUUGCCAUAUAACUUCGUAGCAACGUGGAUAUUAUUCCACAAUGUGUCCAUUUUUUGCUAUUUUUGAUGUUUACAAUUAUAAUCAUGCAAUGGAUUGGAGAGUUUUCACUUUCUGUUUUGGAGGUUGGAAUCUUCAGGUCGUGUUACUUGGCUACUAUUGAUAAUUACUUUGUUAUUUUUUUUAAUUUUAUUUUACACUCAACUAUCGUGAGGCUCCAGAUGUGCGAGUUUCUUUUGAUUUGACAUCUUACAAGUGGCAGAUGCGUGCUUGCAUUUGUUGUCCUCAAAAUUCUUAUGGACUAUGAUUGUUUACGCUCCAGAUUUGCAGCAUUCAGUCCUACUAGCUCUAUAGUUUUAGCUUCCCAAUCCUUUUGGUUGAUUAGUUUAGUUAGAACUUAGAAUGUUGUUGUCCUAAUAUAUAUCAUAGCGUUGUUUUAAGACUUGUGAUUUUGUCUCUAUGUAUAUUAUAUGGAUAAGUAAGUGCAGCAUUUCUGUUAAAAUUAGUGUGAAUUUAUCAUUGAUUGGUAUUUGACAUUUCAUGUCUUCAAGCUGAUGUUUUUUCUAAUUUGCUAUUGUUUAACAAGCUUUCUCAUAUUCGUGGUUAGCCUUGUUGAACUUGAAACUUACCCUCGGUCACUUUUACCUGAAAGGUAAUUUGAGAUUUGGAUAUAAAGGUGGUUUUGGGUUUAUCGAUUUUGGGUUUAUCAGAUGUGUCUAGUGGAUUUUGUGUUUUAUUAAAUGGCUAGGAACAGUUAUCAAGAAAUGUUUUGUGAGACCUUGUUUUAGAAGAUUGCAUUGUGAACAACUCUGAGUAAGAGCAGGGAGUUUACAAGGAGCUGUGGAGAUCAUUACUAAUUGUGGGGAUGAAGAGUUGAAGGAAUUCUUGUCUAAGAAGAAUGAAUCAGGCGAAAUCAUGCUUUAUGUUGCUGCAGAAAGUGGUCGUAUUGGUUACUGCAUAGUCUGUUCCAUUUGCUUGAUUUUGUGAUCUAUCAACCUUGAAAAUCUGAUAUUAUUUAAUUAUGUUUCGGAUAUUAAUUACUUUUACUACCAUUUUACUCUUGGAAAUUUCAGCAAGAAUGAAGAAGAAAAAAGCUAGUUAUUUUUCUCUUUGAUUUCAAUGCCAAGCGGCUGUGAUUGUUCGGGUAUCUUGAUGAACUGUAAAU
This 2866-nucleotide long non-coding RNA is filed under the name Olea europaea subsp. europaea. The record is from RNAcentral. Lineage: Eukaryota; Viridiplantae; Streptophyta; Magnoliopsida; Lamiales; Oleaceae.